UAGAGUUUGAUCCUGGCUCAGAUUGAACGCUGGCGGCAUGCCUUACACAUGCAAGUCGAACGGCAGCGCGGGAGCAAUCCUGGCGGCGAGUGGCGAACGGGUGAGUAAUACAUCGGAACAUGUCCAGUAGUGGGGGGUAGCCCGGCGAAAGCCGGAUUAAUACCGCAUACGAUCUACGGAUGAAAGCGGGGGAUCUUCGGACCUCGCGCUAUUGGGGUGGCCGAUGGCGGAUUAGCUAGUUGGUGGGGUAAAGGCCUACCAAGGCGACGAUCCGUAGCUGGUCUGAGAGGACGACCAGCCACACUGGGACUGAGACACGGCCCAGACUCCUACGGGAGGCAGCAGUGGGGAAUUUUGGACAAUGGGCGAAAGCCUGAUCCAGCAAUGCCGCGUGUGUGAAGAAGGCCUUCGGGUUGUAAAGCACUUUUGUCCGGAAAGAAAUCCUUGAUCCUAAUAUGGUCGGGGGAUGACGGUACCGGAAGAAUAAGCACCGGCUAACUACGUGCCAGCAGCCGCGGUAAUACGUAGGGUGCAAGCGUUAAUCGGAAUUACUGGGCGUAAAGCGUGCGCAGGCGGUUUUGUAAGACCGAUGUGAAAUCCCCGGGCUUAACCUGGGAACUGCAUUGGUGACUGCAUCGCUAGAGUAUGGCAGAGGGGGGUAGAAUUCCACGUGUAGCAGUGAAAU
This 685-nucleotide ribosomal RNA is filed under the name bacterium enrichment culture clone PF-1_61. Its description in RNAcentral is "bacterial SSU rRNA". It matches the Rfam family "Bacterial small subunit ribosomal RNA", at positions 1 to 687 of the family's 1533-position model. The record is from RNAcentral.